CAGGGAAUGAGAACAAACCUAUAACAAAUUGAUAACUCAUUUUGUUACUGAUAACAAAAUGAAAUCAAAACAAGUUUUCGUUCCGAAUUGUUUUUUUAUUUCAUAUCAAAUUGAGAUAUCAUUUUGUUAUCAUUUCAAAAACUCAAUGUUAACAAGAUUUGGUUUCGAAAAUCAAAAAUAGGUUUAAUAUAAUAAAGCAUAUUAAACAUCAAUUAUAUUCACAAAAUAUUUGUUAAAUCUACCUGAGUAUUGUACUUCCAUAUUGACACAUAAUUUGCAAUUAUGCUGAUUCUGGGUAAAGGUCAUGCUAUUGAUUUAAAUUGGUUCAAUAAGUCUUUUUAGGGUAACUCCCUGGCCAAGUUCGCAGGGUUUGACGGUAUUAAAGUGAAGGUUAUUGUAAUGUAGUAUUCUUUAGUGAAUCAUAUCACCUUUUUAACACUUUAAUGCGCCUCCAACGGUUCAUCACGAACCGGCUGCUGCAGAUGGAGUAUGGCUGAUCAUAUGUUUUUGCAUGUUCAUCAGACAUGCUCGAUAAACACGGAGGGACCGCCGGGGCUCAAUAGAUUCUAUACCCAAGCAAUAGUUCCAAGUUGGUUGGAUUUGAGAAGGUUUUGAGGAUCGUUACAAAUCCUACUAGAAAUAUUAUAGGUUUUGUAACAGGUUUUGAAAACUUUUUAUUGCCAGUAGACUUGAAAAUGCUGUUUGGGCUUUCUUUCCCACGUUUUUUGGUUGAUUUUGAUUCACUACUAAAUUUAUAAUAAUUUGAGUAAUUUACAAUAAUUAAAUAUAUUUAAAUUAGUAAUUUUAUCAAAACAAAUUUGUUUUUUAAUAUUACAAUGAUAUCCAGUAAUAUUCUCUUUAUAUAAAUCUGGUAAAAUCAACCGAAUAGUAGGAAGGAAAGUUGCAGCACAUAAUAGUGCUGAUAGAUUCGAAGCUAACGUGCGAACAAUGGAUUACUGCACGAUACUACUGGCCUGCUUGCUCUCACACAUGGUUUGACGUUUGAGCUGUGACGACACCGCUCAAACGCCAAAUUAUCUUUGGGAGUGAGCGGGCCGGCCCAAGUUCGUGCAGUGGACCAUACUUUAACACUUUAUUGGCGUCAAUGCGUUCGACGUGACAUUUUGGACAAAAACUGAUUGUUUCUAAGCUGAAGAACGUUACUUGUGUAUGACUAGGCUGACAUUUCUAGGUUACGGGGAGAAAAUGACUAGGUUUAUCUAGGUAGGACGGAUAGGACAAAUGAACGGAUUGGCUCUGUUUUAAUAGUUAGGUUGUUUUCUGUCUCGUAUCAUUGGAAGUCCAUGCAUGACAUGUUCAAAACUAGUGUCUAUCAUUGGGGAUGGCGCCAGUGCUGUAGGUGGCUACCAACAUAGGUGUUAUCGCAGUAAAGGUUGUUGUCUUCAAUUGGUAUUUGACCAUAAUUAUUUCAACUAUACAUUUUACAUAAUAUUUCUUGGAGAUAGCAUAGGCACAGUUGUCAACAUAGACAGCAUUUUGUGCUAUGUUAUUUCCAAGAAGUAAUAGCAAGGAUAUAAAUAUUCCUGGUGCUUCAGGUCUCGCGGGUAAAGAUUUAUUCUGAUAGCUUCAUAUACUUCACAUGACUGAGGGUAGACAGACAUGACUAAUACAUCUACGGGAGGGAAAAUGCAAAAUUUUGAUUAAAACUACUUAGGCACAAUGUAAAAACUAGUGUUAAAUUGGGCAACAUAGCCUAUUCCGUCUAAACAUUGGUCUUGGUAGAGAUGAAAUUUGAAUAACGGGUUCAGCCUUGACAAUCAAGCUGUCACGCAGCUCCAACUGAAAACCCAUAAAAAAAAAAGUCUUUUUAGGGUAACUGGUAAUUAUCGGCAGUGUUGUUCUCUUCGUUAUGCGGGGUUUUUCAUCGGCCAAAUUGCUUGAAACUUGGUCGUAUAGCUCAACUUGGUUGGGAAAGAUUUGAGGCCAACGUUGAAUUCAACAGGUUUCAAAAAGCCUUCCAUAACGAAGAGAACAAAACUGCUCAGAGUAUAUACAAAAGUUCCCCUAUAUUAAUUAUUUUAAACUAAACAUAUUGCUGAAUAUUUUGAAGUUUGAACUAAAGGGUGAUUAUUUCUCCAAUUCUGUAUUUUUUGAAAACUGCACUAUUCACACUUUCGUAAGAGAAUAAUGAGAGUUCCACAGUAUAGACUGUUUCAGAAAUUAUAAAUACACUUUGUUUAUUAAAUAAAAUGAACUGUUCUGAAAAUUUCAACCAACUUCUUUCAGAACACAGCAUAUCGUGAUCCACAUUUUUGUAUUCCCUUUCAAUUGUCAUGAUUUUUAGAAGAACAGUCGAAUUCUCUAUCAAUUAACUUAUUUCUCCAUAUUUCCAUUCGCACAAAGGUGUUUUUUAAAGAUUUUAUCUAACUUUUUAUCAUAUUCGUUUUCUCCACAAGUUGUCAAAAAAAUGCCUUUAACCUGGGAGAAAUCGAUAAAGUCAUUUGCACAACUUUUUUUUCUGACAUCAAGUUUCUUAUUUUUUAAGGUUUUCACCGAAACAUAAGAACUACCACACAGUUUCUUAGCUUUCCUGAACACAUCUAAUUUUAACUAAUUUAUUUUUUCAUCUCAUUUGAUCCUUCAGAUGGCAUAGCUUGCCAUACCAUAAAAACGAACCCAGUAAGCAGUAAAUAAGACAUUCGUUUGCUAAACGUUUGUUGCCACAUGAGUUGUUGAGAAAUUUGAAACAACAAUUGUUGCAUUGAGAAUGCCCGUUAUGAUGGUUCUUGAUCAAAUAUUCUAGCAAAAAUUGUUUUAUCCAAUCGAGACAUAUAUUUUCUUAUCGAAACUGUAAUUUUCAUUGUGUUUGGAAAUAGAACAUUUUAUUUGUGAGAUUUUUUUUUCUUUUCUAUUAUGCUAAAUUUUUUGACCACUUUUUGUAACUUCAAAUUUUAAUCAUCUAGUUUACAGAGCCCCAUUUUUUUAAACUUUUACAAGAAACAUCAACAAAAUUGGUAUUAUUUGCCUCAUUAGAAUGUAUACUAUAAGAGCUAGAGGAAACUUUUUUGGAUAUUGUGCUCAAAUUGAAAUGGCAUCCAAUCGUUAGUGUAUUUAUAAUUUCUGAAACAGUCUAUAGGUACUCAAAAUUUUCUCACACUUUAGGUCGUUUGGCAUAAAGUCAUUUGGCAUUAUAGCCAAUUGGCAUAUUGUUCAUUUGGCAUAAUUCUAACUUAAAGACAAAUGAAGUUGGAUAUGGCCAACCGAAGUAAUUCGCGGUCAUUCUACUGCCGAAGGUCACAUAUUUUACCUUUAUAAAGUUUUUUUUUGCGUGAAAAAGGAUUCAUUGUAGCUCCGUACCAAUAUUAUAAAUCCCGAGAUGUUUGAAACAGUUUUGAAAAUAACACAGAUAUUUAUCAUACAUGAAAAUGAUGAAUGCCAUUUCAUUUAUUGUUAUGCCAAACGGCCAUUUUGCCAAACGAAUGUUCUGCCACAUUAUGAAAUUUGAUCAUUAUGCCAAAAGACUAUGCCAAACCCGAUAGAAUUAAUGUAGUAAAUAUUUUUCCAAUCGAAUGCCUUAUUUUUUCAAUGUCAUCAUUUUUUCUCGGGUAACGAGGGAAAGAGCUGAGAGGCCGAAUUCGACUCAAUUCGUUGGUCGAUGUCAUUCAAUUUGAGCCCAAUGCCUUUGGCUCUGGGAUGUAGUGAAAACCUCCCACAUUUGUUUUACUGCAGUGCAUAUAAUCAGAAGGAAAAGCUGAAAUGUAAUUAUACAAAAAUAUUACGUGCAGUUAUCCUUUGACUUCAAAUUUACUCUUCUUUGUCACUUCAAUGUACAUCAUCCAUAAUCUUUUGGUUGAAUUAUACUGGAUAUCUGUGAGGAUUAGAGUGGGUCAACGUUGUAUGGAGAAACUUUAAAUUUGAUCGUAUCGAUCCGGAACAAAGCUUUUUCAAUCUAUACACCUUGUCCUUUUUAUACGUCCAUGCUUGGCUGAGCGACGAAAAAUUCUACCGCUAAGACAAUGAGCAAACUCAACAGUUUUAUAUUUUUUAAAACAUCUACGUGAUUAGGAGAAGUGUACAAAAAUAUAAAAAUGUGUAUUUUGAUCAUUAUUUUGUCGGUAGAAUUAUUGUUCGCUACGUAAAUCAAGGUUUAGGUGUAUUUGCGUCCAAAACAACUGUGCAAAAUUUGGGAGCGAUUGGUUAGGUCCCUGUAUUCCGCAUUGCGAUUGAAAUUUGUAUGGAGGUUAGUAUGGGAUAACGUACUUUUUUGCAUUUUACUCAUAAGUUGAAUUCUUUUGCCUAGUACCAUGUAAA
Long non-coding RNA from Aedes albopictus (Asian tiger mosquito), 4272 nucleotides. RefSeq lists it as uncharacterized. The record is from RefSeq and is a predicted model, not a curated record. The transcript has 2 exons. NCBI's taxonomy places the organism in Eukaryota, Metazoa, Arthropoda, Insecta, Diptera, Culicidae.